RNAcentral lists this ribosomal RNA (244 nucleotides) under uncultured Pseudomonas sp. RNAcentral describes it as "partial 16S ribosomal RNA". It matches the Rfam family "Bacterial small subunit ribosomal RNA", at positions 1141 to 1382 of the family's 1533-position model. Lineage: Bacteria; Pseudomonadati; Pseudomonadota; Gammaproteobacteria; Pseudomonadales; Pseudomonadaceae. The record is from RNAcentral.
UAAGGAGACUGCCGGUGAACAAACCGGAGGAAGGGUGGGGAUGACGUCAAGUCAUCAUGGCCCUUACGGCCUGGGCUACACACGUGCUACAAUGGUCGGUACAAAGGGUUGCCAAGCCGCGAGGUGGAGCUAAUCCCAUAAAACCGAUCGUAGUCCGGAUCGCAGUCUGCAACUCGACUGCGUGAAGUCGGAAUCGCUAGUAAUCGUGAAUCAGAAUGUCACGGUGAAUACGUUCCCGGGCCUU